AGAUUAAACUGAAGAGUUUGAUCCUGGCUCAGAUUGAACGCUGGCGGCAUGCUUUACACAUGCAAGUCGUACGCGGGUGAGGGGCAACUCUCACCUGAGUGGCGAACGGGUGAGUAAUACAUCGGAACGUGUCCCGUAGUGGGGGAUAGCUCGGCGAAAGCCGGAUUAAUACCGCAUAUGCUCUACGGAGGAAAGCGGGGGAUCCGCAAGGACCUCGCGCUAUGGGAGCGGCCGAUGUCCGAUUAGCUUGUUGGUGGGGUAACGGCUUACCAAGGCGACGAUCGGUAGCUGGUCUGAGAGGAUGAUCAGCCACACUGGGACUGAGACACGGCCCAGACUCCUACGGGAGGCAGCAGUGGGGAAUUUUGGACAAUGGGGGAAACCCUGAUCCAGCCAUGCCGCGUGAGUGAAGAAGGCCUUCGGGUUGUAAAGCUCUUUUGGCCGGAAAGAAAAGGCUACGGAUAACACCCGUGGUCCUUGACGGUACCGGCAGAAUAAGCACCGGCUAACUACGUGCCAGCAGCCGCGGUAAUACGUAGGGUGCGAGCGUUAAUCGGAAUUACUGGGCGUAAAGAGUGCGUAGGCGGUCCCGCAAGUCCGCUGUGAAAGCCCCGGGCUUAACCUGGGAAUGGCAGUGGAAACUAUGGGACUUGAAUCUGGCAGAGGGGGGUGGAAUGCCACGUGUAGCAGUGAAAUGCGUAGAGAUGUGGCGGAACACCGAUGGCGAAGGCAGCCCCCUGGGCUGAGAUUGACGCUCAGGCACGAAAGCGUGG
Molecule: ribosomal RNA, 773 nt
Filed under: Betaproteobacteria bacterium
Lineage: Bacteria; Pseudomonadati; Pseudomonadota; Betaproteobacteria
Description: bacterial SSU rRNA
Rfam family: Bacterial small subunit ribosomal RNA
Source: RNAcentral